Dermacentor andersoni is the source of this 588-nucleotide long non-coding RNA. RefSeq lists it as uncharacterized. The record is from RefSeq and is a predicted model, not a curated record. Lineage: Eukaryota; Metazoa; Arthropoda; Arachnida; Ixodida; Ixodidae.
UGUUCAACUGCUUUGGUCAUAUGCGAGUCAAGGUUGUUCUCUUUAGCCAAGCGCAGUUUUCGAAAGCGAAACGACGCUUUUGCAUCAGCAUAUAGUGCCGUCGCCCAUUUACAACACAGUCAAUCAAUGUAAUUUUGUAUGUCACUGCGAAACCGCCGAACGCAGGGAACUCACUCGCAUGUGGGGAACUGCAUAACUAGCCACGGGAUUACCGUGCCUCUUGGGAAGCUGCUUUGCAUCAAAGGCCAGGUACCCUUGCUAUGAUUCACCGCAAAAUAUUUUGUAUGUCUAACCGCUUAACAUAUUUGUAUUGCGGUGAAGCUAACCUUACGGAACCGAAUUUCGCAACGCUUUUUAGACUCCUGCAUCUCUACCAGCCACUACCAAACGCUUGUCGGUACGUCUCUUGGCAAAGGUCCAGACUGAACAUCCCACGUCUUGGUUUGACUUCCUGGUACAGGAUACUUGCACUUAGCAUGGAGUGAUGAAGCAAAGCAGUGUACUGUUAUUAAAUGUGCAGAUUUUAGCAGUAUAAGAGCAGUUCAUUAAAAAAACAUGUGUGCUGAAAAUAAAGUGUUCUUACCCACA